This 424-nucleotide ribosomal RNA is filed under the name uncultured bacterium. Its description in RNAcentral is "bacterial SSU rRNA". It matches the Rfam family "Bacterial small subunit ribosomal RNA", at positions 356 to 773 of the family's 1533-position model. The record is from RNAcentral.
GGGGAAUAUUGCACAAUGGAGGAAACUCUGAUGCAGCAACGCCGCGUGAGUGAUGAAGGUUUUCGGAUCGUAAAGCUCUGUUGCCAGGGAAGAACGUCUUCUGGAGUAACUGCCAGGAGAGUGACGGUACCUGAGAAGAAAGCCCCGGCUAACUACGUGCCAGCAGCCGCGGUAAUACGUAGGGGGCAAGCGUUGUCCGGAAUUAUUGGGCGUAAAGCGCGCGCAGGCGGCUGUUUAAGUCUGGUGUAUAAUCCUGGGGCUCAACUCCGGGUCGCACUGGAAACUGGAUGGCUUGAGUGCAGAAGAGGAGAGUGGAAUUCCACGUGUAGCGGUGAAAUGCGUAGAGAUGUGGAGGAACACCAGUGGCGAAGGCGACUCUCUGGGCUGUAACUGACGCUGAGGCGCGAAAGCGUGGGGAGCAAAC